This 497-nucleotide ribosomal RNA is filed under the name uncultured bacterium. RNAcentral describes it as "partial 16S ribosomal RNA". It matches the Rfam family "Bacterial small subunit ribosomal RNA", at positions 28 to 507 of the family's 1533-position model. The record is from RNAcentral.
GAUGAACGCUGGCGGCGUGCCUAAUACUUGCAAGUCGAGCGAACGGACGAGAAGCUUGCUUCUCUGAUGUUAGCGGUGGACGGGUGAGUAACACGUGGAUAACCUACCUAUAAGACUGGGAUAACUUCGGGAAACCGGAGCUAAUACCGGAUAAUAUUUUGAACCGCAUGGUUCAAAAGUGAAAGACGGUCUUGCUGUCACUUAUAGAUGGAUCCGCGCUGCAUUAGCUAGUUGGUAAGGUAACGGCUUACCAAGGCAACGAUGCAUAGCCGACCUGAGAGGGUGAUCGGCCACACUGGAACUGAGACACGGUCCAGACUCCUACGGGAGGCAGCAGUAGGGAAUCUUCCGCAAUGGGCGAAAGCCUGACGGAGCAACGCCGCGUGAGUGAUGAAGGUCUUCGGAUCGUAAAACUCUGUUAUUAGGGAAGAACAUAUGUGUAAGUAACUGUGCACAUCUUGACGGUACCUAAUCAGAAAGCCACGGCUAACUACGUG